RNAcentral lists this ribosomal RNA (368 nucleotides) under uncultured bacterium. RNAcentral's name for it is "bacterial SSU rRNA". It matches the Rfam family "Bacterial small subunit ribosomal RNA", at positions 28 to 396 of the family's 1533-position model. The record is from RNAcentral.
GACGAACGCUGGCGGCGUGCUUAACACAUGCAAGUCGAGCGGUAAGGCCCUUUCGGGGGUACACGAGCGGCGAACGGGUGAGUAACACGUGGGUGACCUGCCCUCAGCUCUGGGAUAAGCCUGGGAAACCGGGUCUAAUACCGGAUAUGACUCCAUGACGCAUGUUGUGGGGUGGAAAGCCUUGUGCGGCUGAGGAUGGGCCCGCGGCCUAUCAGCUUGUUGGUGGGGUGGAUGGCCUACCAAGGCGACGACGGGUAGCCGGCCUGAGAGGGCGACCGGCCACACUGGGACUGAGACACGGCCCAGACUCCUACGGGAGGCAGCAGUGGGGAAUCUUGCGCAAUGGGCGAAAGCCUGACGCAGCGACG